CAACCAUCAAGCCCCCGGCUUGCGUUGGGGCCCUGCGGCUGCCGCAGGCCCUUAAAAACAGUGGCGGGCUCGCUGUCACACCGAGCGUAGUAAUACAUCUCGCUUUGGACGUGCGGCGGGUUCUUGCCGUGAAACACCCCCCUUCUCAA
RNAcentral lists this unclassified non-coding RNA (149 nucleotides) under uncultured Cercophora. RNAcentral's name for it is "partial internal transcribed spacer 2". Lineage: Eukaryota; Fungi; Ascomycota; Sordariomycetes; Sordariales; Lasiosphaeriaceae. The record is from RNAcentral.